This 2141-nucleotide ribosomal RNA is filed under the name Triticum aestivum (bread wheat). RNAcentral's name for it is "partial small subunit ribosomal RNA". The record is from RNAcentral. Lineage: Eukaryota; Viridiplantae; Streptophyta; Magnoliopsida; Poales; Poaceae.
GGGCGGGGAGCAGUAGCAGGAAGGGAGGAGGGGAGGGGGUGCUCGUUAAGGGUGGUGGGUAGGACUCGCGGCGGUCGGAGGGUGAGGGGCCGCUCGACGGGGUAGGGCUCGCGGCGGUCGGAAGGUGAGGGACCGCUCGACGGGGUAGGGAUCGCGGCGGUCGGAGGGGGUUGGAGGCCACGGAGGGCCUAGGCGGUGGAGGUGCGCCACCGUCGAGGAGGUGGUCUAGUGCGGUGCACAUCGGUAUGGGUGUCAGGGCGGCCGCGGUCGCCGGGUUGGGUCCACCGCGAAGCUGCCUGGAGGAGGGCCGCUCCGGGCUGCGGUUGUGGCCCCUAGAGGUCCUCGCCAGCAGGGGACGAUGCCUAGCGCGGCGGCGGCAGGGAUCGCGAAGAUAUGUUGGAAGCGGCUGGCGGCGGUGGUUAGAAGACUACGCGGCGGGGCCGUCUAGGCUGCGCAGAGGAACUGGAGGGUCCGCUGCGGUGGCCGUUUAGAUCCAACCCCGGUAGGUAGAGGAGAGCGGGGGGCCGUUCCGAGGGGGUAGUGGUGCGUCGGUUCGACGGCGUAGUUUGACCGGUAAGUUGUUGCGGCAGAACCCUGCAAGUUACUGCACCGGGGUACCGCAAACGACAGCGUCGCGGACCUAGUGUAACAGUGGUACGAAGUGCUCCGGCUCUAUAAAGGUAAGAAGUAAGUAGCUGUAGUCUAACUUGACUCUUCAGUCGCGUCUGCGUUAAACUCGAAGGGAGAGAGAGACUAUGCCCAAGCGUUCACAGUACAAGCCGACAAGCGGCGUCGUCGGGCCUCCACGAGGACGUCGGCUGGUUCUUGUCCCGACCCUGUUCCUAUAAAAACAAGAGUUUGUGCAGCGACGCAUACACACAUAUACUUGUAAAAUGAGGUACAACAAGAAAUGUAAAACAGUAGAGGAUAUCUCAAAUACUACGUAUUACUGAUAACCUACCUAAUAAACAAGUACACUUACUUACGUAAAACAGAGAGUUUGUUCUUAAUACACAACCAAAAGUCACGGUAUUGUUUGAAUAAGAAACCCCUAGAAACAUACAUUUCACAGAGUAAGUUCUUCCAUACACAACGUUUUUUUGUAAAGAGAACAAUAUGUAUUUGUACGUGAAACAUAUUAGACCAGGUGCUUUUAUUUAGUAACACUCUUUUCUUCACGUGGCUAACUCGGGGAAGGGUUGUCAGACAAUAAAAGAUGUAAGAACGAUGACUUUCAUCUCCUCUUACUGACGAGCCUAAAAGAGACUUGAAGGAACAAGAAGUGAUACCGCUAUGUACGAGUCGAGAGGGAGAGACUUGAGGACGUUUUGUUCAUACACACUCAAUCGAUCUUCUACUUAAGUCAGUUCUUUUUCUCACAACGUACAAGCGAUUGACAUCAACAAUAAACUUCGACGUGUAAAGAUCGCUUCGUACUAACACAAAUACAAGUCUACGAGGAACGGAAAUUAAAACUAGAAAUCAAAAGAUUUGACUUAACCUGACGAACACAGUAGAAGAAGGAUUAAAAGGGUACACUUUUAACAUACUUUUACUUCCUUACCAGACCCACCUGCUCGAUCGGGCUCCGCACCAGAACGAGCGGUCGCAACCCGCGUCAAGCCGAUCUUUCUUCUUCCUCGAGGUAGGUCGGAUACUUCAAGUUGGCCACUCGUACACGUCAGGCUGCCGCGCACACACGAACACAGGCCAAGUGCCCGCAUGGCACACACCACGAACGUACGUGUGCCUUGGGUGUACACCACACUCCUCUUCGGUUCGAUUUUUCUUCUUGUGUGAUGCGUUCUGUCCGUGUCUCUCCAAGUCCCGAAGUCCGUUACACUACCGCGUCGGCGACGUCAUAGUUGAUGUUGUCGAGCCGCGAGGACCACGAGGAGAGGGAAACGAUGAAACGUACGACACUACGGUGGCGGAGGAGUGACAUGCUUUUCCAAACUCACUCUUUUUUAACGUCGAGUACUUACUUGGACCUCUUCAAGAUUACGCUACCACGAUAAGAAACGUCAAUAAACAAAGAGCACUUACGUAAACCAACACCGACUACCUAGAGAUAGAAGUAUAUAAUAAACGAAAUAAAACCAGACUGAACGUGGGUUGAGAGAGAAGAAAAAAAUUAGCUG